GGGGACGAUCGGUUUCGACGUGGGUUGCAAAGUCUUCAGGGCAUGCCGAGGUGCAGAGCUCCUCGUAAAUCCAACUGCAAAAACUAUAGUUGCCAACGACGACAACUACGCUUUAGC
This 117-nucleotide transfer-messenger RNA is filed under the name Gammaproteobacteria bacterium. RNAcentral's name for it is "partial transfer-messenger RNA". It matches the Rfam family "transfer-messenger RNA", at positions 1 to 121 of the family's 374-position model. From Rfam's summary of the family: Bacterial tmRNA, also known as 10Sa RNA or SsrA, is named for its dual tRNA and mRNA-like properties. Lineage: Bacteria; Pseudomonadati; Pseudomonadota; Gammaproteobacteria. The record is from RNAcentral.